This 492-nucleotide ribosomal RNA is filed under the name uncultured bacterium. Its description in RNAcentral is "partial 16S ribosomal RNA". It matches the Rfam family "Bacterial small subunit ribosomal RNA", at positions 29 to 507 of the family's 1533-position model. The record is from RNAcentral.
AGUGAACGCUGGCGGUAGGCCUAACACAUGCAAGUCGAACGGCAGCACAGUAAGAGCUUGCUCUUACGGGUGGCGAGUGGCGGACGGUUGAGGAAUACAUCGGAAUCUACUUUUUCGUGGGGGAUAACGUAGGGAAACUUACGCUAAUACCGCAUACGACCUACGUGUGAAAGCAGGGGAUCUUCGGACCUUUCGCGAUUGAAUGAGCCGAUGUCGGAUUAGCUAGUUGGCGGGGUAAAGGCCCACCAAGGCGACGAUCCGUAGCUGGUCUAAGAGGAUGAUCAGCUACACGGGAACUGAGACACGGUCCAGACUCCUACGGGAGGCAGCAGUGGGGAAUAUUGGACGAUGGGGGCAAGCCGGAUCCAGGCAUACCGCGUGGGUGAAGAAGGACUUAGGGUCGUAAAGCCCUUUUGUUGGGAAAGAAAAGCAGCAGGUUAAUACCCCGCUGUUAUGACGGUACCCAAAGAAUAAGCACCGGCUAACUUCGUG